GUGGGGAAUAUUGGACAAUGGGGGGAACCCUGAUCCAGCCAUGCCGCGUGUGUGAAGAAGGCCUUUUGGUUGUAAAGCACUUUAAGCGAGGAGGAGGCUACCGAGAUUAAUACUCUUGGAUAGUGGACGUUACUCGCAGAAUAAGCACCGGCUAACUCUGUGCCAGCAGCCGCGGUAAUACAGAGGGUGCAAGCGUUAAUCGGAUUUACUGGGCGUAAAGCGCGCGUAGGUGGCCAAUUAAGUCAAAUGUGAAAUCCCCGAGCUUAACUUGGGAAUUGCAUUCGAUGCUGGUUUGCUAGAGUAUGGGAGAGGAUGGUAGAAUUCCAGGUGUAGCGGUGAAAUGCGUAGAGAUCUGGAGGAAUACCGAUGGCGAAGGCAGCCAUCUGGCCUAAUACUGACACUGAGGUGCGAAAGCAUGGGGAGCAAACAGGAUUAGAAACCCGGGUAGUCC
RNAcentral lists this ribosomal RNA (451 nucleotides) under uncultured bacterium. RNAcentral's name for it is "partial 16S ribosomal RNA". It matches the Rfam family "Bacterial small subunit ribosomal RNA", at positions 354 to 796 of the family's 1533-position model. The record is from RNAcentral.